GGACCUGCAGAUGGAUCAUCGC
This 22-nucleotide ribosomal RNA is filed under the name Heterorhabditis zealandica. RNAcentral's name for it is "partial 18S ribosomal RNA". The record is from RNAcentral. Lineage: Eukaryota; Metazoa; Nematoda; Chromadorea; Rhabditida; Heterorhabditidae.